GAUGAAGAACGUAGCGAAAUGCGAUAAGUAAUGUGAAUUGCAGAAUUCAGUGAAUUAUCGAAUCUUUGAACGCACAUUGCGCCCCCUGGUAUUCCGGGGGGCAUGCCUGUUCGAGCGUCAUUUCACCACUCAAGCCUCGCUUGGUAUUGGGCAACGCGGUCCGCCGCGUGCCUCAAAUCGACCGGCUGGGUCUUCUGUCCCCUAAGCGUUGUGGAAACUAUUCGCUAAAGGGUGUUCGGGAGGCUACGCCGUAAAACAACCCCAUUUCUAAGGUUGACCUCGGAUCAGGUAGGGAUACCCGCUGAACUUAAGCAUAUCAUAAGCGGAGGA
Molecule: unclassified non-coding RNA, 330 nt
Filed under: soil metagenome
Description: partial contains 5.8S ribosomal RNA, internal transcribed spacer 2, and large subunit ribosomal RNA
Rfam family: 5.8S ribosomal RNA (bases 1-120)
Source: RNAcentral